Molecule: ribosomal RNA, 516 nt
Filed under: uncultured microorganism
Description: bacterial SSU rRNA
Rfam family: Bacterial small subunit ribosomal RNA
Source: RNAcentral
GAGUUUGAUCAUGGCUCAGAUUGAACGCUGGCGGCAGGCCUAACACAUGCAAGUCGAGCGGAUGAAGGGAGCUUGCUCCUGGAUUCAGCGGCGGACGGGUGAGUAGUGCCUAGGAAUCUGCCUGGUAGUGGGGGAUAACGUCCGGAAACGGGCGCUAAUACCGCAUACGUCCUGAGGGAGAAAGUGGGGGAUCUUCGGACCUCACGCUAUCAGAUGAGCCUAGGUCGGAUUAGCUAGUUGGUGGGUAAAGGCCUACCAAGGCGACGAUCCGUAACUGGUCUGAGAGGAUGAUCAGUCACACUGGAACUGAGACACGGUCCAGACUCCUACGGGAGGCAGCAGUGGGGAAUAUUGGACAAUGGGCGAAAGCCUGAUCCAGCCAUGCCGCGUGUGUGAAGAAGGUCUUCGGAUUGUAAAGCACUUUAAGUUGGGAGGAAGGGCAGUAAGUUAAUACCUUGCUGUUUUGACGUUACCAACAGAAUAAGCACCGGCUAACUUCGUGCCAGCAGCCGACCG